GAACAUAGCUCAGUUGCUUAGAGCUUGGUGCUGAUAACGCCUAGGUUGCAGGAUCGAUCCCCGUAAUGGACA
Molecule: non-coding RNA, 72 nt
Organism: Podarcis lilfordi (Lilford's wall lizard)
Lineage: Eukaryota; Metazoa; Chordata; Lepidosauria; Squamata; Lacertidae
Source: the annotation of a GenBank genome assembly